Long non-coding RNA from Eubalaena glacialis (North Atlantic right whale), 417 nucleotides. RefSeq lists it as uncharacterized. The transcript has 3 exons. Lineage: Eukaryota; Metazoa; Chordata; Mammalia; Artiodactyla; Balaenidae. The record is from RefSeq and is a predicted model, not a curated record.
AUACACCGGAAGGACCUGUAGAGGUCAUUUUCUUCAUCUCUUGGCUUCCGAGCAGACUUGGUCCUACCUUCCCAAAGAGGCUGCACCAGUUCUUCCAAAGUCCAGAAGAAUCGCAGAGGUCUAGAGGGAUGGACAGUGUAGCCUGUGAGCACGAUUCACAGAAUACAGAAACACUGCAGUGGAUUCCCAGAGGCACCAGAAGAACAAGCCUAGAAAGUCUGCCUUACCUUGGUAUCAGGAUAUGAUGAUCUAUGGAAAGCGUCCUGCUAUGACCCCCUGUGGGCUCCUAGGAUCUUCUGUGUGACCUCGAGCAGGUUGCUCAAUCUCUCUAGGCCCUGGUUCUCAGGCUGCAGCACCAACAGGAAAACUAAUCAUCCUCAUUCGGUGUUUCUAGAACAUUGUGAACAUUAAUGAAAU